Oreochromis aureus is the source of this 210-nucleotide long non-coding RNA. RefSeq lists it as uncharacterized. The transcript is spliced from 3 exons. The record is from RefSeq and is a predicted model, not a curated record. Lineage: Eukaryota; Metazoa; Chordata; Actinopteri; Cichliformes; Cichlidae.
CACCGCAGAAGUAUCUGAGCGAAACGGCAGAAGACGGGAGCUCUCAGAGAUAAUUCAUAUCUGCAUGCAAUGGAGGAAAUAUAUUUGAAACCUGAUAACCCAACAUCUUCAACAAAUCACACGGGUCGAAGGAGCUCUAAGAGGAGUUUCUGUUUAGUUGGUAUUCUCUCUCUUUGCCUGUUGGGUGCUUUCCUGCUGGCUAGACUGAUC